Xenia sp. Carnegie-2017 is the source of this 1841-nucleotide long non-coding RNA. RefSeq lists it as uncharacterized. The record is from RefSeq and is a predicted model, not a curated record. Lineage: Eukaryota; Metazoa; Cnidaria; Anthozoa; Malacalcyonacea; Xeniidae. The transcript has 3 exons.
UGCCGAGCACUUUCGAAUUUGUCUUUCUGGCCAUGAAUGAAUGAUGAAAGCUGUGCAUAAUUGCAAGGCACAACGAAAGCAUCUUCCUCUGGCCAAUUGUCAUAAAUGAAAUUUUGCUAAGCUAUAGCUCUCGUGUGCGACAUAAGUCAUAGUAUUUUUUUGAAGAUUUCGCGCGAUGCAAAUUGACCAUAAGUUUUUUAUCUAUGUUUUAUCAUAACCAUGAAUGUUUAUUUGCUCAUUAUUAGCGUGCUAUACUAUACAUUUUCGACACGGGCGAAUGCAUAUUGACAAAGGUGUCAUUCGCCUUUCCUAAUUUUGCACUACUCGGAGAACCAAAUACCCAAAUAAUCGCUUGAAUAAUUGCAUAAUUGACAAACAGAUUGACACAAAAUGGUAGACGGCGGUCUACAUCAGUUGUACCAACUACGAACACUACCGAACAAAAUGUGCCGAGGAGGAGUUUUGUCACGACGCGAAAUUUUACUUCACAGCGCCCGUCUGCUUCUAAUCGAAGAAGGAUUAGGGAAUCUAAAAAAAGGCAUGGUGCUAUAGAUAAUAGACCAUUCUUAUGCGACCUUAUUUUGCUGGGAGGACCGAAUGCUUCUGUCGUUUCUCGUCAUAGAGCAUGCCUUGCUCUGAUGGAACGGAGUCACAUGAUGUCAGGCUGCAGAUUCACCAAGGCAAUGAACGCUGCACAAGAGGAAAUUGCCAUAAUGGAAGCUUUUGUUGACAAAACUCCAGCUGGUGUGGAUAUCGAAAUAUUAAUGUCAAUGCACACAUCUCUUAUUGUGCCAUUUUUGGCUCAUCGUCAGAUUGGCAUUGAUGGAGCAAUUUUGCAACGGCUCUUUCAGAGUAAACCAGUUUAGGUGUGACCAAACAAACAGGUCAUAAUUGAGCAUCAUAUAUGAGUUUCUGUUGUCCUCUUCCGUGGUUUAAUAGCUGCAUCAACUGUUUUACUUGCACAUGUGUAUGUUAAUGCACCAUAUUUCAACAUCUUGAUUGGAAAAACGAAUUAAUUGACAAUAUUAUACUCAUCAUAUAUAAAUUAAAUAUGCAGUCAAUGUGGAAAAAUGUGUAAUUUAAUAUAAUACACAUCACAGGAAUAGUUUGUGAAGUCCCUGUUAUAUUUUUAAAUAAUGAUUUGUUUGGUGAUGUGCAGAUUUCCAGAAGCUCUACUGAUGCCAAUCCUGAGCCAUUAGCUUUGCCUCGAGAUACAGCACAAUCUCUAUCAUCACUGCCUCCAGAGACAGCACAAGCUUCUUUACAAUCAACCACUGAUCUUCAUACAAUUGGUGUACAGGAUACAUCAGCACAAUCUCCGUUUUCAUUGCCUUAAGAGACAGCACAAGCUUCUUUUCAAUCUACUACUGAUCUUCAUGCAGUUUGUGUACAGGAUACAUCACAUUAUUUCCACCAUGCUUUAUCUUAUCGCUAAGUCAAUCUAAAGAUGGACUUAGAUUAAAGAGACCAAUACCGGUUAAUGUAGAUCUUUAAAUUACCAAGUCAUACCAAAAACUAAUUUAAUAUAAAAGCUAGUUGUUGCUGAUAUGUUUUCAAGAAUUAUUCUUCAUAUCAAUAUGUUCUUGGCUUAGGCAGUUAAAAAUUUUUAUUGCAAUACGCGCACUUACAAUACAAUAGUAAAUCAAUUUUAAAGUUAUCAAUAGCAUCAUAGUUCACCAGCUCUUUGCACAUUGCACAUUUUAACAAAAUCAAUUUCCUUUUUAACGUGUUACAAUAGUUUACCAAAAUUGAAAUGGCAUACCCGACAAGCCAAGUAGCCUAUAUGUACUGUAGAUAAAGCUAUGCAGAAACAUAUUGUAAAAUACAUUACAAAAUCGAAA